RNAcentral lists this ribosomal RNA (434 nucleotides) under uncultured Devosia sp. RNAcentral's name for it is "bacterial SSU rRNA". It matches the Rfam family "Bacterial small subunit ribosomal RNA", at positions 8 to 488 of the family's 1533-position model. Lineage: Bacteria; Pseudomonadati; Pseudomonadota; Alphaproteobacteria; Hyphomicrobiales; Devosiaceae. The record is from RNAcentral.
AGAGUUUGAUCCUGGCUCAGAACGAACGCUGGCGGCAGGCCUAACACAUGCAAGUCGAACGAUGUAGCAAUACAUAGUGGCGCACGGGUGAGUAACGCGUGGGAAUCUGCCCAGUAGUACGGAAUAACAGUUGGAAACGACUGCUAACACCGUAUACGCCCUUCGGGGGAAAUAUUUAUAGCUAUUGGAUGAGCCCGCGUAAGAUUAGGUAGUUGGUAGGGUAAUGGCCUACCAAGCCUACGAUCUUUAGCUGGUCUGAGAGGAUGAUCAGCCACACUGGAACUGAGACACGAUCCAGACUCCUACGGGAGGCAGCAGUGGGGAAUAUUGGACAAUGGGGGAAACCCUGAUCCAGCCAUGCCGCGUGAGUGAUGAAGGCCUUAGGGUUGUAAAGCUCUUUUGCCAGGGAAGAUAAUGACGGUACCUGAGAAUAG